GAACGCGAAGAACCUUACCUACCCUUGACAUGCUAGGAAGUCCGCAGAGAUGUGGAUGUGCCCGAAAGGGAACCUGGACACAGGUGCUGCAUGGCUGUCGUCAGCUCGUGUCGUGAGAUGUUGGGUUAAGUCCCGCAACGAGCGCAACCCUUGCCAUUAGUUGCUACAUUCAGUUGAGCACUCUAAUGGGACCGCCGGUGACAAACCGGAGGAAGUGGGGAUGACGUCAAGUCCUCAUGGCCCUUAUGGGUAGGGCUUCACACGUAAUACAAUGGUCGGUACAGAGGGUUGCCAACCCGCGAGGGGGAGCUAAUCCCAGAAAGCCGAUCGUAGUCCGGAUUGUAGUCUGCAACUCGACUGCAUGAAGCCGGAAUCGCUAGUAAUCGCGGAUCAGCAUGUCGCGGUGAAUACGUUCCCGGGUCUUGUACACACC
Molecule: ribosomal RNA, 433 nt
Filed under: uncultured bacterium
Lineage: Bacteria
Description: bacterial SSU rRNA
Rfam family: Bacterial small subunit ribosomal RNA
Source: RNAcentral